RNAcentral lists this transfer RNA (67 nucleotides) under Sanghuangporus sanghuang. RNAcentral's name for it is "tRNA-Leu". The record is from RNAcentral. Lineage: Eukaryota; Fungi; Basidiomycota; Agaricomycetes; Hymenochaetales; Hymenochaetaceae.
GGUAAACAAUCUCCUCUUAAGCAGGAGUGGAAGUAAUUCCUUAAGAGUUCAAGUCUCUUUGUUCGUA